GACGAACGCUGGCGGCGUGCCUAACACAUGCAAGUCGAGCGGAGAUGUACUGAAGAUUUAUCGGAUGUACAUCUUAGCGGCGGACGGGUGAGUAACGCGUGGGCAACCUGCCUUUCACUGGGGGAUAACACAGGGAAACCUGUGCUAAUACCGCAUGACAUCACGUAGGGCAUCCUAUGUGAUCAAAGGAGAGAUCCGGUGGAAGAUGGGCCCGCGUCCAAUUAGCUGGUUGGUGAGGUAAAGGCUCACCAAGGCGACGAUUGGUAGCCGAACUGAGAGGUUGAUCGGCCACAUUGGGACUGAGACACGGCCCAGACUCCUACGGGAGGCAGCAGUGGGGAAUAUUGCGCAAUGGGGGGAACCCUGACGCAGCAACGCCGCGUGAAGGAAGAAGAUCUUCGGAUUGUAAACUUCUUUGAUGAGGGACGAAUAAAGUGACGGUACCUCAAAAACAAGCCACGGCUAACUACGUG
Molecule: ribosomal RNA, 473 nt
Filed under: uncultured bacterium
Lineage: Bacteria
Description: bacterial SSU rRNA
Rfam family: Bacterial small subunit ribosomal RNA
Source: RNAcentral